Prunus persica (peach) is the source of this 1276-nucleotide long non-coding RNA. RefSeq lists it as uncharacterized. The transcript has 2 exons. The record is from RefSeq and is a predicted model, not a curated record. Lineage: Eukaryota; Viridiplantae; Streptophyta; Magnoliopsida; Rosales; Rosaceae.
UUGACAGCGGUGUGCACGGAGGGAGGGUGGGUUGGUGGGGGUGUCGGAAGGGAAAAUUCUACAAUGGGCGUGGUGUAUCCAUGCGCCCCAAAUUAUCAACCGUUGGAUAAGUAAGUUAAGAUGUGGGUUAAAUCCACACCAUUGAAUGCUGUUAACCGGUUAAAAGGGUUGCUAUAGGUAAAAGUGAAUAAAAUAAAAAUUGAACAAAAAAAUAAAAACAAAACAAGAAAAGAAAAAUAGAACGAUACAAAGGGAGAAAGGGCAAAGAAGAUGUUGAACUACUGAGGCAAUCUCACCAACUCUCUCUUUCAUCUCUCCCUCUCUUCCCCUACCUGUGAAUCGCUUGAUUCUGUGGAUGAAAUUGAGAAGAUCUUAAAUCUCUUGGUCCCUCUCUCUCUCUCUCUCUCUCUCUCUCUCUCUCUCUCUCUCUCUCUCUCUCUCUCUCUCUCUCUGUGUCCAUCUCUCUCUUCGUCCGUCUCUCUCUUCGUCCCCCUCUCUCUCUGUCUACCUCUCUGCUCCUCUUUGUCAUCAGUUCAAACCCUAGAAAAUUGGGGAUUUUUCCAAUAUCAAAGGAUUGACCAAUCUUUCAGUCACAUGUUAGAAUCCAUCCUAUCAUUCAACUCAAUUGUGUUAUCCUUUUCCUUUAUUACAUUCAUUAGUAUUAGCUUGGCAACAAGGUCAAUAGAACCUGUUAACAAAUAUUUAAUAACCAUUAGAAGCUUUCAUCCACUGCUUCUGGGAAAUGCAGCUUUCAUCCACUGCUUCUGGGAAAUGCCUCCCCGAGUUGUUUAUUGCGAACUAUGUAUAGGUACAUGGGUCUGUAAUUAUUUUUGUUGAUGAACAGAUUGUGGAAGUAAUGACCCAGAUUGUGGUUGAAAAAGUGCUUAGUUCAUAUUUCAAUAUGUAGGCAUAUGUUGAAAAUUUUGGAGCGGAGCAAGGGAUGUGGAGGUGGAUCUUAUUUGGGAUAGGCUUCGUUUUUGGGAUUCCCUUGGGCCGUUGGUAUGUUCAGAAGUUAAGGAUUGUUCCUUUCAAGCUAUAUUGUAUUAUUAGAAUUCUGCUGUCAACUACAAGUUUUGUUCGUCUAGUGCCAUGUAUCUUUUUUAAGUUGUUUACCUAGUAUAGCUAGACCAGUGGACAACUUGUCCCUUGUAUUGAUAUGUUCUCUUCUUAAUGAAAUUAUGUUUCUUAUUACAAAAAAAAAAAAAAGACAAUGAAGUGAUUGAGAGAGACAGUGAGUUGGAAAUUGAACAAGAAUAAUGCAAUCGUAAGUUCGGAA